GACGAACGCUGGCGGCGUGCUUAACACAUGCAAGUCGAACGGAAAGGCCCUGCUUUUGUGGGGUGCUCGAGUGGCGAACGGGUGAGUAACACGUGAGUAACCUGCCCUUGACUUUGGGAUAACUUCAGGAAACUGGGGCUAAUACCGGAUAGGAGCUCCUGCUGCAUGGUGGGGGUUGGAAAGUUUCGGCGGUUGGGGAUGGACUCGCGGCUUAUCAGCUUGUUGGUGGGGUAGUGGCUUACCAAGGCUUUGACGGGUAGCCGGCCUGAGAGGGGGACCGGCCACAUUAGGACUGAGAUACGGCCCAGACUCCUACGGGAGGCAGCAGUGGAGAGUAUUGCACAGUGGGCGGAAGCCUGAUGCAGCAACGCCGCGUGCGGGAAGACGGCCAUGGGGUUGUAAACCGCUUUCGCCUGUGACGAAGCGUGAGUGACGGUAAUGGGUAAAGAAGCACCGGCUAACUACGUG
RNAcentral lists this ribosomal RNA (468 nucleotides) under uncultured bacterium. Its description in RNAcentral is "partial 16S ribosomal RNA". It matches the Rfam family "Bacterial small subunit ribosomal RNA", at positions 28 to 507 of the family's 1533-position model. The record is from RNAcentral.